CCUACGGGAGGCAGCAGUGGGGAAUAUUGCACAAUGGGGGAAACCCUGAUGCAGCGACGCCGCGUGAGUGAAGAAGUAAUUCGUUAUGUAAAGCUCUAUCAGCCGGGAAGAAAAUGACGGUACCUGAGUAAGAAGCCCCGGCUAACUACGUGCCAGCAGCCGUGGGAAUACGUAGGGGGCAAGCGUUAUCCGGAUUUACUGGGUGUAAGGGGAGUGUAGACGGCAGUGCAAGUCUGGAGUGAAAGGUGGGGGCUCAACCCCCGGACUGCUGUGGAAACUGUACGGCUGGAGUGCAGGAGAGGUAAGUGGAAUGCGUAGUGUAGCGGUGAAAUGCGUAGAUAUUAGGAGGAACACCAGUGGCGAAGGCAGCUUACUGGACUGUAACUGACGUUGAGGCUCGAAAGCGUGGGGAGCAAACAGGAUUAGAUACCCUAGUAGUC
This 440-nucleotide ribosomal RNA is filed under the name uncultured bacterium. Its description in RNAcentral is "partial 16S ribosomal RNA". It matches the Rfam family "Bacterial small subunit ribosomal RNA", at positions 338 to 795 of the family's 1533-position model. The record is from RNAcentral.